UCGGGCUCCGCGGCUCAAAAACAACAGCGGCAGCGCCGCCAGCUCCGCGCUCCGCCACUGCCCGGGCCGGCGGGCGGGACUCGGACCCGCCGCCCUCGGUCCCGCACGGAGCCGUAGGGAGCAGCGCGCCGGGCACUGGGGAGGCGGCGCCGGGGCAGCCUUCCCAGCGCCGGGCGCCCUGCACCUCGCCGCCUCGGGCGGGCCCGCUCUCUCCUGCCUCCGCGGCCCCAGGUGAGUACCCAGCGGCGCGAGCGCCCGAGCUGGGCCACCUCGAGCGACCGGAGCCUCUGGGGACACGUCCCCCAGCCCUUGCGCGGCCCAGGUGCGUCUCGGGCGGGAGAGCCAGCGAAGGAGCAGGUGCCGGAGCGCGGGCGGGAGCCGACUGGGCGUUCCUUCUGCCCCACAGCCCUCAAAUUCGGAGGGGCGGCGGCGGAGGGGCAGGCUGGGCGCAGGCAGCGUGUUCCGGGCCCAGGGGCCUGGAGGGGACGCUGAGAACUGCUCACUCGAGUAUGUCUGGGAUUCGAGAAAGAAUUGGAAGCAAACGGAGGCGCUGACCCCCGCGCUCUUUCAAGUACCAGGGUUCUGCCAGGCCGCGGGACUUGCAGCUGCCAGAGAGUCUCCCUGAGCCGGGGAGGGGUCGUGUGCGCGGUGCGGGGUCUCUGCCGCCCUGGGUGGGCUCCGGGCCGUGCCCCUCCCCUUUGUUGUGCAGUGAGACCAGUGGCGCCUCCGCUGGGACCUACAUUCGGAACCCCGCGUCCUCGCCAUAAAAGAGGUGAACUGGCAAUGUCCAAGGAGCUGCCCCCAAAACCUCGGGGUCCUAGCAGAGGCGCCCCGAUGCCGAGGGGCGCAUGACCCACGCUACCCCAGAGGAAAGCCCGACGGAGCCGGGCUUGUCAAAAGCCAGCGGCGGCAGCACGCUGAGCCUUCCACCCUGGCCUCUCGGCCGUCCUCAGCCGCUUCCCUGCCGGGAUUCGAACCCCGACGGAGCCCCCACUGCUGGGGGGUGGUGUGUCCAGGCUUGAGCCCGCUCGCUUGCUGACCCGGACGGAGAAGGCGCUCUCUGCCCGGCCGGGAUGCCCACUGACCGCCGCCUCUGUUGUUUCCGGCCCUUGGCCCAGAGACGCUCGCUGUGACCCAGGUAAGUUUAGAAGCCAGAAGCACACAGGACCUGAUUUCUGGCCAGCGAGUUCAGAAGCUGUGUGGCGGCUCAGAGCGGAGGCCUUCCGGCACCCACACCCAGUCCCUGGUUCUGGAGUGGGUCGCAGAGAGGGUUGGGGACGCUCCCAACCGAGACUUCCCAGGAAUGUGAGCCAUGGAGCUGAUUGCGAACAAACCCCAGAUGUUUAGAAGCCUACUUCCUUCUCAGGCAGGAGGACGCUCUCUCUUGUAGACGGGCAGCCUCUUGGGAGGGCUUCGGUGAUUCCUCUGCCGGGAUCUUGGAGUCCUGGCUCAGGCCACCAUCUUGCAGGAGCGCAGGUGCCCGUAAGGGGCACCUGGGGUCUGCCACGUGCUUCGGCGGGAUGUGAUCAGGAGUUUUGUUUUCUUUUUUUUUAAUUUAAGAGAUGGAGGCUGUGAGCUUGAACUCCCUCGUUUGAGCCAGGUGGGAGUUGACUCCAGUAUCUCGGCCCAAACCAGCACCCCAAGAAGCGCAGAAAGUCCCCGGCGACUCGUUCCCCCGCAGCGCGCAAAGCGGGCGGGACUCAGCGGCUAAGUCCCCGGGCUCCAGCAACCGCGCGGGCUCCGGCUCCGGCCUCGGCCGCCGAGCGCAAUAAACGGAAUCGGUUUCCCACG
Long non-coding RNA from Lagenorhynchus albirostris (white-beaked dolphin), 1791 nucleotides. RefSeq lists it as uncharacterized. The transcript is spliced from 2 exons. The record is from RefSeq and is a predicted model, not a curated record. NCBI's taxonomy places the organism in Eukaryota, Metazoa, Chordata, Mammalia, Artiodactyla, Delphinidae.